RNAcentral lists this ribosomal RNA (212 nucleotides) under Helotiales sp. RNAcentral describes it as "partial large subunit ribosomal RNA". The record is from RNAcentral. Lineage: Eukaryota; Fungi; Ascomycota; Leotiomycetes; Helotiales.
AAGCGCUUGCAAUCAGACUUGCACUUGGUGUUCAUCAGGGUCUCGUACCCUGUGUACUUCAUCAAGUUCAGGCCAGCAUCAGUUUGAGUGGUUAGAUAAAGGCUCGGGGAAGGUAUCUACCUUCGGGUCGACUUACAGCCCCGGGUGAAAUGUGGCCUACUUGGAUCGAGGAACGCGCUUCGGCUCGGAUGUUGGCGUAAUGGUUGCAAGCG